This 145-nucleotide ribosomal RNA is filed under the name uncultured eukaryote. Its description in RNAcentral is "partial 18S ribosomal RNA". It matches the Rfam family "Eukaryotic small subunit ribosomal RNA", at positions 1299 to 1458 of the family's 1831-position model. The record is from RNAcentral.
UGGUGGAGUGAUUUGUCUGGUUAAUUCCGAUAACGAACGAGACUCUAGCCUGCUAAAUAGACGGGCGAUCCCUUCGUAGGUCGACCCGAUUCGCUUCUUAGAGGGACAAGUGGCGUUCCUAGCCACGCGAAAUUGAGCAAUAACA